Non-coding RNA from Vicia faba (fava bean), 276 nucleotides. The record is from the annotation of a GenBank genome assembly. NCBI's taxonomy places the organism in Eukaryota, Viridiplantae, Streptophyta, Magnoliopsida, Fabales, Fabaceae.
AUGUUCAUCCAUGAGACCUUAUUCAAGAUUCAACAAACAAUCAAAGUUCCACUAAAAAAACUAUAUGUCCAUUACAAAAUCAAUUCAAAUACACCAUUUUUUUACUUUGACCAAUUCAUACAAAAUAUCAUUCAUCAAAUUUCAUGUACAUUUUAUGGAGGUCAUUACCCAAAAAUAACUCAUCAUCAUUACAAAAAUAGUCCUAAGUCUCUUGAUUCUAACCCCAAAUAUUCUAAUCCUCAUGCUAAAACUCACCUUACAAUCUUCAUGCUAUAA